Molecule: ribosomal RNA, 423 nt
Filed under: uncultured bacterium
Lineage: Bacteria
Description: bacterial SSU rRNA
Rfam family: Bacterial small subunit ribosomal RNA
Source: RNAcentral
GUAAGGAAUAUUGGACAAUGGAGGCAACUCUGAUCCAGCCAUGCCGCGUGAAGGAAUAAGGCCCUAUGGGUUGUAAACUUCUUUUAGACGGGACAAAACCCCUUUACGUGUAAAGGGUUGAUGGUACUGUCAGAAUAAGCAUCGGCUAACUUCGUGCCAGCAGCCGCGGUAAUACGAAGGAUGCAAGCGUUAUCCGGAAUUAUUGGGUUUAAAGGGUGCGUAGGCGGACUAAUAAGUCAGUGGUGAAAGCCUGCAGCUUAACUGCAGAAUUGACAUGUAUACUGUUAGUCUUGAGUACAGUUGAGGUAGGCGCAAUGUGUCAUGUAGCGGUGAAAUGCUUAGAUAUGACACAGAACACCGAUUGCGAAGGCAGCUUGCUAAGCUGUAACUGACGCUGAGGCACGAAAGCGUGGGGAGCAAACA